RNAcentral lists this long non-coding RNA (4011 nucleotides) under Nicotiana benthamiana. Its description in RNAcentral is "long non-coding RNA (NBEN_LNC010073)". Lineage: Eukaryota; Viridiplantae; Streptophyta; Magnoliopsida; Solanales; Solanaceae. The record is from RNAcentral.
UAAUCUCUCAUUUUAAUUACCCAAACCCUCUAAUCCCCUACCCCUCUCAUUUCCACCCCCCAGUCGUCUCUUUCAGAGACUUAUCAAAUGACCCAAAAAAUCCUAGCCGCCAUUGUUACCUUCGCCUGAAAACCCAGCGGCGACACCUCCAACCUCGAUUAAAACAGCAUCCCUGAACCACAUCGAUUCCCCCUCUCCAAAUCCACACUUAUCUUGCCUCGAAUCUUCCCAGGCCGUCUCGAAUCUUCAAUCGAAGAAUUGAGAAAAACCCUAGCCGCCUUUGAUUAACCCCAAACUUACACUAGUUAUCCACCAGGCCACCCUUGUCCCAAAACCCAUGGUAGUUUCAUUCGAAUCUAGCCAGAGUUAGUCGAAUCUUAAAUCGACUGAAGAGCCCUAGAAGCACCAAAACUGAACUUGUACGAGAUUAGGAAAAAUUGGGGUUUUAAUCGACUUUAGUUGAGUGUUCUCAGUCGAGAACACUCGACGAAAAUCCGUUUUGACCUCAAUAGUUCAAGUCGAAGUUCAAACUAACUGAGAGCUAUGUCUAAUUCCGAGGUAUUUUCGCUUCUUUGCUUUUAUUUUUUGUUUGUUUGUUUUUGUUGUUAUUAUUUAUCGGAUUAAGUUUCGGAUAAUUCAUCUUUUGUCAAUUAGUUCUUCUUCCUCUUGGGGACCUUUUACUUGGUCCAGUUUUCUUUUGUCAAUUAAUAACAUAUGUUAUAAAUAGUUUCGUCGAUUACUUCAUUCUUGUUUGUAGUCCAGUAGUUCUCGUCAAAUGGCUAUGUGCUGAUCCUUAGCCACUUAGCUUCAGGGCUCACUGUCUAGAUACUGUCAGUGAUACUACAUUUUGUAUAGGUUUAAUUCCCUACUCGUUCAUUUGUGUUUGAGCAAAUUACGAUUGGCUCCCCAAUAUGGUUAGUUUAUUCCCUAUAUCUAUGGGACCAAUCUAACUUUACUAGUCCAAUGCAUGUUAUUUUGAAUCAUUGGAUCUUAUUUGGAUACUAUUUGGUCCAAUCUGAAUAUAAGCCUGAAUUGAUGUUGAUGAAUUGGACCUUGAUGUGGUUCUGUAAUGAAUUUAGUUUUGAUAUGCUUGUUAGGAGUCAGUUCAUAUGGCUAAGUAAUCGAUUAAUAAGUUGAAUUUAUUAUAGCUGAUAGGUUGUGUACAUAUUGAGGGGAUGGGGUUAGGAUAGGAAUUCUAGGCAACUCAGUGGGUAAUUUGGGAAUUGAAAACUUGAAGAAUUGUUUAAUUUGAGUGUUAUGUUCACUAGGUACUACUGUACCAUUAAAAUAUGGUAUUUGUUUAACAAUUAGUGGGGAACAAAACAUAAUGGUAUGGGGGAUAAGUGAUGAAAAGAUAAAAGAUACACAUAAUAGAGGAAUAUUACAAGCUGGAAAGUGAAGAAAUAUGGGGAUAAUAAUAAGAGAUCUCUUUUACAACUACAAAGAGAAAAAGGGGGCUGGAAAGGGGUUUAAGGGUUUUGGGUAUAAAUAAGGAACAUUUAGGACAGAGUUAGGGGAACCUGGGAGAAUCAGUCUUGUCAGUUUUUUACUCAAUGAAGAGGAAUUUUUGAGGAAAAAAAAGAGUUCAAAGUUUGAAUACAAAAACAGAGUGUUGAGAGUUCGAGGAUCAGUUUUCUUGAAAGCUUUUAAAGCUGAACUCUUCCACACUUUGAAACUUUAAUAGUUUGAAAGAGUGCUCUAGACAAUCAGCUCACACUGUUAUAUUGAUUUUAAGAGCAGAAAUUGUUAAAAUCUCUUUGUUUCUGUUCUGUACUUGGGUGUUCAGGACACUUGAGGUAUUUGGUGAUUUAUUUGAGGGUUGCUGGGUAUUAUCUGAUUGCUGAAAGGUGUUCCAUGACGGUCUAGACUAAUUUCUUGUAGAUUCAAUAUUUUGGUUAAGCUUCUCUCUUCCUGGGCAUUUUGACUGUGGUUUGGUCUUGAACUUGGCUCUAUUUGUUGUUGUUGAUUGUCAACCUGUUGGUGUUACUGUUAUCUGCUAUAGCUGACCUCCUUUCUUUCUUACUCGUAUUUCAACUUCCAAGUACACAGCUGUAACUUUGGCAUUUGUAAGCUGAAAAAUAUGAAAUUUGAAUAUACGUGAAGAGUUAAAAUUCUGAUUUGAUUUCUAUAUGACUUGUGUAUUUAAAUUCUUCAGUCACUGAAGAUAGGUAGAUCUCUGCUAGUUUGUAGUAAGUGGACUGAAAUGGAGUUGUAUGAGAUAUUUUUUUAAUAGUUCACAUUGAAACAUGUUAGCAUCUGGUAACUGAUUCAUGUAGUUAAACAUGAGCUUGUGGGACUGUUGAAUUAAUCUGGACUGUGACUGUUAGAUUACUGGAUCUUUGGAUUAUGUUCGACUAGUUCUGAAUAUCAGUUUUUAUGCCAAUUGCUAAUUCAGGAAAGUACUACAUCAAUUGAAAGGAAUAGGAAAGUGUAAAAUGUAAAUAGUAUUGGAAUUUGGUUAAAGCAUUGACUGUAGGCAUUAACUAUAGUUAGUUUAGUGUGUUUGUUCAGUUUAAGCACUUAAAACUAGAAAAUAACUGGAAUUAGCAUUCUAUUUUGGAACUUGUGAUAUUGUGCUUGCAUUAAUGGCCACUGUUCAAAUUGGUAAUAGCAGUCAUGUAAACAUCAAACUAGAUGUUAGUAUUGCAGUGGCAUAAGACGUUGGUUGAUCCAUUAGUUAAAGCCAGAGUUGGAGUUUCAAUUGCAUGUUUUGGAAAUACAAAUUCAUUUUGCGAGUUGCUUACCUGUUUUCAGUGCAUUAUUAAUUCAUUUUAAUUAGAGUAAGUAAUGAAUUAAUGAAUUGGUAUUAAACUAGUGGCUUAGAAACUUCAUUCAGGAUCGUUUAAGUUAAAAUGAGAAGUUUGGGCUAUAGCAUUGCCCAAUUGUAUGGAUCAUUCAAAUUUGGUAACAAGCCGCCCACUUCCCUUUAGGCCACUAAUAUGCUUGCUAGACCAAUGCUUUGAUCAAAGGCCACAAAAUUGGGCAUUUCUGAUAAACAUGCAGUUUUUUAAAUAUAGUAGUUCAUAAAUUAACUAAGUUUUUAUUAUCAUUUAGAGACACUAAAACUAAAUAGAAAAUCAUAGUUUACUUUAUAUUUGCCUUUAAUAAUAAAACGAGACGAGUCUCGCCGAAUAAAAAAUGCAAAGAUCGUGGGGCCCUCGUUAAAUGUGUUUAUUAAAAUACUUAAAUUUUAGGAUGAGCUGUUUAGAAAAUUUUACAGUUUUCCCUACAAUAAUAACAUGCUAGUUACUGUAGGCGCGCUUUUGAUAAUAUACUUUCUUAAACUCGGGUGCACAUUUAUGUGAUCCAAAUUCAAAUCUCUACGGAGUCGAAAUGUGUCAAUAAUCACGGUUGCGUGGUUCGAGAUGUAUUUUUACGACGUUGCAAUUUUUGUUAAAAAAAAUAAAUAAUAAUAAUAGCAGUAAAAGUAAAAUUUUCACACAGGUUCAACAUGUAUUAAAAUCAAACAAAUAAGCCGAAUAUGAUAGUUGAGUGACCGUGCUAGAACCAUGAAACUCGGGAAUGCCUAACACCUUCUCCCGGGUUAACACAAUUCCUUAUCCAGAUUUCUGGUUCGCGGACUGUAAUACAGAGUCAUUGUUUUCCUCGAUUCGAGAUUCAACCAGUGACUUGGGACACCAUAAAUAUCCCAAGUGGCGACUCUGAAAUAAAUAAAUAAAUUUUGUUUCGAUUGUCCUUUAAUUGGAAAAACUCCCCCUUGUGCCCCUGCAGGUGCGGGUGAAAAAGGAGGUGUGAAAGCUCUGGCAACUCUGGUGGGGACCGAACCCAGAAUCUCUGGUUCAGGGUUCACAAUUCGAGCUUAGAUAAAUUGUUAUGUUUGGGUUUUAUGUAAUUUUGUUACAUUAUUUGUGCUUAUUUUGCUAAUUGACUAUUUUUACAGCUUUGAUAUUUUGUGAACUGUAGCAUAAAUUUUCUUCUUGCGCACCCCCUCUGAGCCUUUUGAAUACAACCUUGUGAAUCGCGGAUAGGCGCCCCAUUCUUUGCUAAGAU